This 438-nucleotide ribosomal RNA is filed under the name Triticum aestivum (bread wheat). Its description in RNAcentral is "partial small subunit ribosomal RNA". The record is from RNAcentral. Lineage: Eukaryota; Viridiplantae; Streptophyta; Magnoliopsida; Poales; Poaceae.
AUGACGAUAGAUGCAUUCGCCAUAGUUCCAGCAUUACGGCAAACCCGUGUCAAAUAUAUAGCGGAUUUGGGAGAUCUAGCCAAAACGAAUCCUAUUUCGGCUAUGACCUUCACCAUUACAAUGUUCUCAUACGCAGGAAUACCCCCGUUAGCCGGCUUUUGUAGCAAAUUCUAUUUGUUCUUCGCCGCUUUGGGUUGUGGAGCUUACUUCCUAGCCCCAGUGGGAGUAGUGACUAGCGUUAUAGGUCUAUUUUAUUAUAUACGCUUAGCGAAAAGAAUGUUUUUUGAUAGACCUAGGACAUGGAUUCUAUAUGAACCAAUGGAUCGUGACAAGUCGUUACUACUAGCAAUGACUUCCUCUUUGAUUACUUCAUCCUUUCCAUAUCCCUCUCCCUUGUUCGUUCUUACUGAUCAAAUGGCACUCAGUUCAUAUCUGUAA